UACGUAGGGUGCAAGCGUUGUCCGGAAUUAUUGGGCGUAAAGAGCUCGUAGGCGGCUUGGUAAGUCGGGUGUGAAACCUCCAGGCUCAACCUGGAGACGCCACUCGAUACUGCCAUGGCUAGAGUCCGGUAGGGGACCACGGAAUUCCUGGUGUAGCGGUGAAAUGCGCAGAUAUCAGGAGGAACACCGGUGGCGAAGGCGGUGGUCUGGGCCGGCACUGACGCUGAGGAGCGAAAGCGUGGGUAGCAAACAGG
This 254-nucleotide ribosomal RNA is filed under the name uncultured bacterium. Its description in RNAcentral is "partial 16S ribosomal RNA". It matches the Rfam family "Bacterial small subunit ribosomal RNA", at positions 524 to 776 of the family's 1533-position model. The record is from RNAcentral.